This 432-nucleotide ribosomal RNA is filed under the name uncultured bacterium. RNAcentral describes it as "partial 16S ribosomal RNA". It matches the Rfam family "Bacterial small subunit ribosomal RNA", at positions 29 to 506 of the family's 1533-position model. The record is from RNAcentral.
AACGAACGCUGGCGGCAUGCCUAACACAUGCAAGUCGAACGAGACCUUCGGGUCUAGUGGCGCACGGGUGCGUAACGCGUGGGAACCUGCCCUUAGGUUCGGAAUAACUCCCCGAAAGGGGUGCUAAUACCGGAUAAUGUCUUCGGACCAAAGAUUUAUCGCCUUUGGAUGGGCCCGCGUUGGAUUAGCUAGUUGGUAGGGUAAAAGCCUACCAAGGCGACGAUCCAUAGCUGGUCUGAGAGGAUGAUCAGCCACACUGGGACUGAGACACGGCCCAGACUCCUACGGCAGGCAGCAGUGGGGAAUAGUGGACAAUGGGCGAAAGCCUGAUCCAGCAAUGCCGCGUGAGUGAUGAAGGCCUUAGGGUUGUAAAGCUCUUUUACCCGGGAUGAUAAUGACAGUACCGGGAGAAUAAGCUCCGGCUAACUCCGU